RNAcentral lists this ribosomal RNA (253 nucleotides) under uncultured bacterium. RNAcentral describes it as "partial 16S ribosomal RNA". It matches the Rfam family "Bacterial small subunit ribosomal RNA", at positions 524 to 776 of the family's 1533-position model. The record is from RNAcentral.
UACGUAGGGUCCGAGCGUUGUCCGGAAUUAUUGGGCGUAAAGGGCUCGUAGGCGGUUUGUCGCGUCGGGCGUGAAAACUCAGGGCUCAACCCUGAGCGUGCUUCCGAUACGGGCAGACUAGAGGUAUGCAGGGGAGAACGGAAUUCCUGGUGUAGCGGUGGAAUGCGCAGAUAUCAGGAGGAACACCAGCGGCGAAGGCGGCGCUCUGGGCCGGUACUGACGCUGAGGAGCGAAAGCGUGGGUAGUAAACAGG